RNAcentral lists this unclassified non-coding RNA (309 nucleotides) under plant metagenome. RNAcentral describes it as "partial contains 5.8S ribosomal RNA, internal transcribed spacer 2, and large subunit ribosomal RNA". The stretch from base 1 to 105 matches the Rfam family "5.8S ribosomal RNA", at positions 50 to 154 of the family's 154-position model. The record is from RNAcentral.
GAAAUGCGAUAAGUAGUGUGAAUUGCAGAAUUCAGUGAAUCAUCGAAUCUUUGAACGCACAUUGCGCCCCUUGGUAUUCCAUGGGGCAUGCCUGUUCGAGCGUCAUUUGUACCUUCAAGCUCUGCUUGGUGUUGGGUGUUUGUCCCGUCUCCGCGCGUGGACUCGCCCCAAAGUGAUUGGCAGCCGGCGUACUGGUCCCGGAGCGCAGCACAUGUCGCGCAAACGAGUGCCUUGGUACGGCGGCGUCCAUAAGCCCCUCUCUCACGCUCUUGACCUCGGAUCAGGUAGGGAUACCCGCUGAACUUAAGC